AUGCCGAACAUGAUGGUGACCAGAUCAUCCGCGGAGGACCCUCAUGUCGCUGCCGGAGAGCAGCAGCAGCCGCAGCGGCAAGCGGCGGACAAGGUACCUCGCACCACUGAGGAGGAGCCAGCGGAUUUUACCAAUCUUUCACGGUACCAGACGAUCAACCCGGAAUCCGUUCCAGUCCCCAAUGGCAGCGGCAGUGGUAGCGCCGCCACCAUGAAGCCAGCAGAACCCGCGCCGUCACCCGCACCAAGCAUGGACGAGCACGACGGCACCCCGGCCGUGGACGCCGACAGCUCGAGCCUUGCGUCCUACCUCGCCCGCGCCUCGCUCGAGCAGCGCCGGCCAGGAGGGCGUCCGACGUCCUCAUCCGCUGCCAUCGUGAGCGACCACCAGCUGCACAACGCCGUCGUGCACUCCUCACAGGGACUUAACAUCGGCGGGGAGCUCUACAACUUGGCCGCCCAAGCCUCCGAGGCAUCCAACAGCCUAGGCGGGGCGGUCUACACCUUCGCCGCCCAAGCAUCCCAAGCACACAACAACCUCGACAACGGGCUCCACAACCUCGCCGCCCAGGCCUCCCAGGCAUACAACUGCCUCGAUGACGGGCUCAACAAACUCGCCGCCCAGGCUACCCAGGGAGCAGACCUCGGCGGCGGCGGGUUCUGCAACAUCGCCGCCCAGGGAAUCGACCUCGGCGGCAGCGGCAACAGCAGCGACAUCAUCAUCGCCGCUCCGGAAGGCACCGCACCGCUCAAGUAG
Molecule: ribosomal RNA, 756 nt
Filed under: Triticum aestivum (bread wheat)
Lineage: Eukaryota; Viridiplantae; Streptophyta; Magnoliopsida; Poales; Poaceae
Description: partial small subunit ribosomal RNA
Source: RNAcentral